UGUAAUUUAAUCAGAAUGUUUGAAAUGUUUGUUUUGGGUUCAAAAUGUUGAAUCAUUUCCAAUUUAGUAAGAAUGUUGGAAUGUUUGGACUUUUUUGUAUUUUUUGGACUAGACAUUUAGUCAGAAUGUUGGAAUGUCAGGUUGUGAUGUCGUUCCUGAUUUCCCGGAUGCUUGCCGAAUGGGUUUGGUGCCAAAUGAUUGUAUGCUGGCCGCUAG
RNAcentral lists this long non-coding RNA (216 nucleotides) under Panax ginseng (ginseng). RNAcentral describes it as "long non-coding RNA (PGIN_LNC019038)". Lineage: Eukaryota; Viridiplantae; Streptophyta; Magnoliopsida; Apiales; Araliaceae. The record is from RNAcentral.